GCGAACCGCAGAUAAAUUGUUUUUAUAUAUCUUGUAUGAUUUCCUGUAAAAUAUUGUGCAGGGAUGCUGAGCAAGAGCUUGCGACCAAUAUCCGCCGUCUGCAAAUUGAACAGUGAGCUUCUUAAAACUAACCAAAAGAUGGAGAGGCAGCUUGGCGACACCAGAGCCAACCUGGCUGCCUCCAGGCAAGAGUGCAGCGGCCUGAAGCAAUCCAUUGCACAGGUUCCAAUCUGAAGUCCAUCCAGAUGAUUCUUAAUAAGACAGCAGACGGUACAGGCAUAGACUCCAACACCCUGGCCUUACAGAUGAAGGGCCAUCCUGAGCUGAGGGACAAGCUUCAUGUCGUCACCUCUUGAGGGCCUUUGCCUGUCUACCCUGGGGUGGUCAACUCAGAAUUACCUGAGGAUCUCAAGACAUCUAUCACCAGGCAUCUUCUCAACAUGCAUCUCGACCCCAAAUGGCAAGCUCAACUGAACCAAUACAUGGUGUCCAAA
RNAcentral lists this long non-coding RNA (494 nucleotides) under Patiria miniata (bat star). RNAcentral's name for it is "uncharacterized LOC119743502, transcript variant X2". The record is from RNAcentral. Lineage: Eukaryota; Metazoa; Echinodermata; Asteroidea; Valvatida; Asterinidae.